This 253-nucleotide ribosomal RNA is filed under the name uncultured bacterium. RNAcentral describes it as "partial 16S ribosomal RNA". It matches the Rfam family "Bacterial small subunit ribosomal RNA", at positions 524 to 776 of the family's 1533-position model. The record is from RNAcentral.
UACGUAGGAUGCAAGCGUUGUCCGGAAUUAUUGGGCGUAAAGAGCGCGCAGGCGGUAUGACAAGUCAGAUGUGAAAGAGGCCGGCUUAACCGGCAAGGGUCAUUUGAAACUGUCAGACUAGAGUGCAGCAGAGGAUAGUGGAAUUCCCGGUGUAGUGGUGAAAUGCGUAGAUAUCAGGAAGAACACCCGUGGCUAAGGCGGCUCUCUAGUACGGUACUGACGCUGAGACGCGAAAGCGUGGGGAGCGAACAGG